RNAcentral lists this ribosomal RNA (449 nucleotides) under uncultured bacterium. Its description in RNAcentral is "partial 16S ribosomal RNA". It matches the Rfam family "Bacterial small subunit ribosomal RNA", at positions 29 to 523 of the family's 1533-position model. The record is from RNAcentral.
AACGAACGCUGGCGGCAUGCCUAACACAUGCAAGUCGAACGAAGGCUUCGGCCUUAGUGGCGCACGGGUGAGUAACGCGUGGGAAACUGCCUAUUGGUGGGGAAUAACGACGGGGAACUGUCGCUAAUACCGCAUAAGCCCUUCGGGGGAAAGAUUUAUCGCCGAUAGAUGUGCCCGCGUCCGAUUAGCUAGUUGGUGAGGUAAUGGCUCACCAAGGCGAUGAUCGGUAGCUGGUCUGAGAGGAUGAUCAGCCACACUGGGACUGGGACACGGCCCAGACUCCUACGGGAGGCAGCAGUGGGGAAUAUUGGACAAUGGGCGAAAGCCUGAUCCAGCAAUGCCGCGUGAGUGAUGAAGGCCUUAGGGUUGUAAAGCUCUUUCGGGUGGGACGAUGAUGACGGUACCACCAGAAGAAGCCCCGGCUAACUUCGUGCCAGCAGCCGCAGUAA